This 76-nucleotide transfer RNA is filed under the name Burkholderiales bacterium. RNAcentral describes it as "tRNA-Asn". It matches the Rfam family "tRNA". Rfam says of the family: Transfer RNA (tRNA) molecules are approximately 80 nucleotides in length. Their secondary structure includes four short double-helical elements and three loops (D, anti-codon, and T loops). The record is from RNAcentral. Lineage: Bacteria; Pseudomonadati; Pseudomonadota; Betaproteobacteria; Burkholderiales. RNAcentral also lists the same sequence under 2 other names.
UCCCCGAUAGCUCAGUCGGUAGAGCACCUGACUGUUAAUCAGGUUGUCCCUGGUUCGAGCCCAGGUCGGGGAGCCA